GUACAGGUUCCGUAGGUGACCUGCGGAGGAUCAUUA
RNAcentral lists this ribosomal RNA (36 nucleotides) under Zoanthus sansibaricus. RNAcentral describes it as "18S ribosomal RNA". The record is from RNAcentral. Lineage: Eukaryota; Metazoa; Cnidaria; Anthozoa; Zoantharia; Zoanthidae.